RNAcentral lists this ribosomal RNA (429 nucleotides) under Verrucomicrobiota bacterium. RNAcentral describes it as "Verrucomicrobia bacterium partial 16S ribosomal RNA". It matches the Rfam family "Bacterial small subunit ribosomal RNA", at positions 355 to 776 of the family's 1533-position model. Lineage: Bacteria; Pseudomonadati; Verrucomicrobiota. The record is from RNAcentral.
UAGGGAAUCUUCCGCAAUGGACGAAAGUCUGACGGAGCAACGCCGCGUGAGUGAAGAAGGAUUUCGGUUCGUAAAACUCUGUUGUUAGGGAAGAAAAAAUGUAUAGUAACUAUAUACAAAAGAGACGGUACCUAACCAGAAAGCCACGGCUAACUACGUGCCAGCAGCCGCGGUAAUACGUAGGUGGCAAGCGUUGUCCGGAAUUAUUGGGCGUAAAGCGCGCGCAGGUGGUUUAGAAAGUCUGAUGUGAAAGCCCACGGCUCAACCGUGGAGGGUCAAUGGAAACUAAUAAACCUGGGGGCAGGAGAGAAAAGUGGAAUUUCUAGGGUAGCGAUGAAAUGCGGAGAGAAUAGGAGGAACACCGGUGGGGGAAGCGGCUUUUUGGCCUGCAACUGACACUGAGGCGCGAAAGGGUGGGGAGCAAACAGG